This 460-nucleotide ribosomal RNA is filed under the name uncultured bacterium. RNAcentral describes it as "partial 16S ribosomal RNA". It matches the Rfam family "Bacterial small subunit ribosomal RNA", at positions 338 to 795 of the family's 1533-position model. The record is from RNAcentral.
CCUACGGGGGGCAGCAGUGAGGAAUAUUGGUCAAUGGACGAGAGUCUGAACCAGCCAAGUAGCGUGAAGGAUGACUGCCCUAUGGGUUGUAAACUUCUUUUAUAAAGGAAUAAAACGAGGCACGUGUGCCUUUUUGCAUGUACUUUAUGAAUAAGGAUCGGCUAACUCCGUGCCAGCAGCCGCGGUAAUACGGAGGAUCCGAGCGUUAUCCGGAUUUAUUGGGUUUAAAGGGAGCGUAGACGGGUGGUAAAGUCAGUUGUGAAAGUUUGCGGCUCAACCGUAAAAUUGCAAUUGAUACUGGGAGUCUUGAGUGCAGUUGAGGUAGGCGGAAUUCGUGGUGUAGCGGUGAAAUGCUUAGAUAUCACGAAGAACCCCGAUUGCGAAGGCAGCUUACUAGACUGUAACUGACAUUGAUGCACGAAAGUGUGGGUAUCAAACAGGAUUAGAUACCCCAGUAGUC